Molecule: ribosomal RNA, 241 nt
Filed under: uncultured Desulfotomaculum sp.
Lineage: Bacteria; Bacillati; Bacillota; Clostridia; Eubacteriales; Desulfotomaculaceae
Description: partial 16S ribosomal RNA
Rfam family: Bacterial small subunit ribosomal RNA
Source: RNAcentral
UCUAGCUGAACUGCCGUUGACAAACGGAGGAAGUGGGAUGACGUCAAAUCAUCAUGCCCUUUAUGUCCUGGGCUACACACGUGCUACAAUGGCCUGUACAGAGGGAAGCGAAAGGGUGACCCGGAGCGAAUCCCAAAAAGCAGGUCUCAGUUCGGAUUGCAGGCUGCAACCCGCCUGCAUGAAGUCGGAAUCGCUAGUAAUCGCAGGUCAGCAUACUGUGGUGAAUACGUUCCCGGGCCUU